AGAGUUUGAUCCUGGCUCAGAAUCAACGCUGGCGGCGUGCCUAACACAUGCAAGUCGAACGAGAAAGUGGAGCAAUCCAUGAGUAAAGUGGCGCACGGGUGAGUAACACGUGACUAACCUACCCUUGAGUGGGGGAUAACCUGGGGAAACCUUGGCUAAUACCGCAUAACACCUACGGGUCAAAGGAGCAAUUCGCUUAAGGAGGGGGUCGCGGCAGAUUAGUUAGUUGGCGGGGUAAUGGCCCACCAAGACGGUGAUCUGUAUCCGGCCUGAGAGGGCGCACGGACACACUGGAACUGAAACACGGUCCAGACUCCUACGGGAGGCAGCAGUGGGGAAUUUUGCGCAAUGGGGGAAACCCUGACGCAGCAACGCCGCGUGGAGGAUGAAGUCCCUUGGGACGUAAACUCCUUUCGACCGGGACGAUUAUGACGGUACCGGAAGAAGAAGCCCCGGCUAACUUCGUGCCAGCAGCCGCGGUAAUACGAGGGGGGCGAGCGUUGUUCGGAAUUAUUGGGCGUAAAGGGUGCGUAGGCGGUUCGGUAAGUUUUGUGUGAAAUCUUCGGGCUCAACUCGAAGCCUGCACAAAAUACUGCCGGGCUUGAGUGUGGGAGAGGUGAGUGGAAUUUCCGGUGUAGCGGUGAAAUGCGUAGAUAUCGGAAGGAACACCUGUGGCGAAAGCGGCUCACUGGACCACAACUGACGCUGAUGCACGAAAGCUAGGGGAGCAAACAGGAUUAGAUACCCCCGUAGUCC
This 756-nucleotide ribosomal RNA is filed under the name uncultured bacterium. RNAcentral describes it as "bacterial SSU rRNA". It matches the Rfam family "Bacterial small subunit ribosomal RNA", at positions 8 to 796 of the family's 1533-position model. The record is from RNAcentral.